This is a small nuclear RNA of Cervus hanglu yarkandensis (Yarkand deer), 126 nucleotides long. The record is from Ensembl. NCBI's taxonomy places the organism in Eukaryota, Metazoa, Chordata, Mammalia, Artiodactyla, Cervidae.
GCGUUGUAUGAAAGGAGAGAGGGUUAGCACUCCUCUUGACAAGGAUGGUGGAAACUCUCGAGCCUGACAACAUGCAUACAGUUAAGGCAUUGCCACUUACCUCAUGGCAUCUAACCACACUUCAUG